RNAcentral lists this ribosomal RNA (4368 nucleotides) under Triticum aestivum (bread wheat). Its description in RNAcentral is "partial small subunit ribosomal RNA". The record is from RNAcentral. Lineage: Eukaryota; Viridiplantae; Streptophyta; Magnoliopsida; Poales; Poaceae.
AUGGCCGGCAGUGAUAAAGAGAAGGCGAAGAAGAAGGAAGAGGAAGAAGAGGCCAAGGCGGAGGCCUCGGCACUUGAAAAAACCCUGGCCCGUCUCUCCACCGAGGAGGGGUCGGGGGUGCGUGUCGUGGAGCGCAUCAUGCACGGCGGCGGCGGCGCGCCUCCGAUGAUGCUCACCCGCACUAACUACUCUGAUUGGGCCAUGAUCACUAAACUUCAGUUGCAGGCUGAUGAGCUGUGGCAUGUGGUGGAAACAGGCCAAGGGACGGACCGCGACGACCGGCGCGCCAUGAUUGCUCUCCUCAAGGGGGUACCGCCGGAGCUCAUGCGGAUCCUGGGCGCAAAGGCCACUGCCAAGGAGGCAUGGGACACUCUGAAGACCAUGCGGAUCGGCGUCGAGCGCGUGCGCGAGGCCAAGGCUCAAACUCGUCGCUCAGAGUACGAGGCGCUCCGGUACAAGGACGGCGAGGGAAUCGAGUCGUACGUGAUGCGGCUCAGGACGAUCAUCGACGAGCUGCAGGGGCUCGGCGAUCCAGUGGACGAGCACAAGGCCGUCCUCAAGGUGCUCCGCACCGUGCCACGCCCGUACCGCGAGAUGGCCGUGGCGAUCGAGUCGCUGGUCGACACCAAACAACUCUCCCUGGAGGAACUCUGUGGCCGGCUCCUUGUCGUCGAGGAGCGAGAGCGCGAGGAGACUCCGGCGACCGACACGCAGCUGCUGUACACCAUCGAUCAGUGGCGGGCGCACGAGAAGCAGCUGGACCAAAGCGGCGCGUCCUCAGGCUCUGGAGCAGGGCGGGGACGCGGGAACGGCAGGGCAAAGAACUUCCACGGAGGGGGUGGCCGUGGCCAGGGCGGUGGCCGCGGCAAUGGUGGUCCGGCGACGCCCAAAGGGAAGGGCAACUGCCGCUACUGCGUCAUCCCAGGUCACUGGGCCAAGGAAUGCCGCAAGAAGGAAAGGGAGCAGCGGGAGCAGACGGACCAACAGGCGAACGUCGCCCAGGUCGACGUCGAGCAGCCGGGCUUGCUGUUGGCCACCUGCGCGGCAGUGAGCGGCGAGAGCGCGAACAGCGGCGCACGUGAACCGGGCGCGGAGAUCUUCCUCAACGAAGCACGGGUCGUGCCCGUGGCGACGGACGACGACAGAUGGUAUCUCGACACCGGCGCUAGCAAUCACAUGACGGGGCACCGCGACAUGCUCUCGGAGCUCGACGAGACGGUACGAGGUACUGUACGUUUUGGUGACGGCUCUGUCGUGCAGAUUUGCGGACGUGGAGUGGUGAUGUUCUCCUGUAAGAACGGCGAGCACCGCGCACUCUCGGACGUCUACUACAUCCCCCAACUGCGGACGAGCAUCGUGAGCCUCGGACAGCUCGACGAGCACGGGUGCAAGUCCGUGAUCGAGGGCGAUGUGCUCUGUCUCUACGACAGGCAGCGCGUGCUUCUGGCACGGGUGCAGCGGACGAGCAACCGGCUCUACGCCGUGGCUCUGAACUUGGCUGCGCCCGUGUGCCUCCUGGCGCACGGCGGCGACGAAGCGUGGCGUUGGCAUGGACGUUUCGGCCACCUCCACUUCCGGGCACUACACGAUCUUGGCGCGAAGGGGAUGGUGCGUGGCAUGCCGGCGAUUCAGCAUGUCGAACAGUUCUGCGAGGGCUGCACACUCGGGAAGAUGCACCGUACGCCAUUCCCACGCGCGUCACCGUACCGCGCGGAGCAGGGGCUUGAUCUCGUCCACGGCGACCUCUGCGGGCCCAUCACACCGGCGACCACGUCCGGUAACAAGUACUUUCUGCUCAUCGUUGAUGAUCACAGUAGAUACAUGUGGUUGGAAGUGCUCAGGAGCAAGGAUGAGGCGUUCAAAUUCUUCAGAAAGAUCAAGGCGGCUGCGGAGACACAGUGCGGUGCAAAGCUCAGAGCGUUCCGCACCGACCGCGGCGGGGAGUUCAACUCGAGCGAGUUCACCGCGUACUGCGAAGAGCACGGCAUCCUAAGGAACACGACGACUCCGUACUCUCCUCAACAAAACGGAGUCGUCGAACGCCGCAACCAGUCCGUGGUCGAGAUGGCUCGCAGCCUGAUGAAAAGCAUGGGCGUGCCGAGCACGUUUUGGGGCGAGGCAGUGCGCACGGCGGUGCACAUCCUCAACCGCUCACCGACGAGGAGUCUGCAGGGCAUGACACCCUAUGAGGCGUGGCGCAAGAAGAAGCCGACGGUCGAUUACUUCCGCACUUUUGGCUGCGUCGCGCACGUCAAGCUCGUCGGCCCUGGCGUGACCAAGCUGGCGGACAGGACACGGCCGGGCAUAUUUCUGGGCUAUGAGGCGGGCACAAAGGGCUAUCGGGUGUACGACCCGAUUGGCAAGCGCUUGUACAUCACACGCGAUGUGCGUUUCGAGGAGGAUCGGCGCUGGGACUGGAGCAAGGAUGGUAGCGACUCGGAGCGCGCCAACCAGUUCACGGUCGUGUACUCCGACACGGGCGUGCCCACAACCACGACCUACUCCGUGUCACCAGCCCCGGUGAUGCCACCUGGCGCAUUAACAACACCAACUGCGCCAGGCUCACCGCUUGCUCCAAGCACGCCGCGGACGCCCACGUCUAGCGGUUCCGCCGUGGACACGCCGAGCGCGUCGAGCACGCAGGCAUGGGUGGACUCAAGCCCGUCCACACCAGUUACUCCUUACAACUCUGAUGACGGGUGGGUGACGCCACCCACCGGCGAGGAUUUCGACGCCGAGGGGGUGCCAGUCCGCUGGAAAUCCAUGGAGUACAUCAUCGACCACGCUCCGGCAUGCACUCUGGAGUACAGUGGGCUCUGUCUCUCCGCAGCAGAGGAACCUGCGUCUGUCGAAGAUGCACUGGAUGAGCCUGCCUGGCGCAGCACAAUGGAGGCGGAGAUGGACUCGAUCCGCUCCAACGGCACCUGGUCUCUUGCCUCCCUGCCCGCCGGACAUCGCGCCAUUGGACUAAAGUGGGUGUUCAAGGUGAAGCGCGACCCAGAUGGAAACAUUGUGAAACACAAAGCUCGUCUGGUGGCAAAGGGAUAUGCACAGAGGCAGGGGGUGGACUUUGACGAAGUGUUCGCUCCCGUAGCUCGUCUAGAAACAGUGAGACUGUUGCUUGCAGUAGCAGCGCAACGGCGAUGGUCAGUGCAUCACAUGGAUGUGCGAUCUGCCUUUCUGAAUGGAGAACUGCAGGAAGAAGUAUAUGUGCAUCAGCCUGCAGGUUUCAUCGACAGCUGCAAUCCCAACAAGGUUCUGAAGCUGCAGAAGGCUCUGUAUGGGCUCCAUCAGGCACCCCGAGCAUGGAAUACCAAGCUGGACACUACGCUGGUUUCCCUUGGUUUUGAGAAGUGUCAGUUGGAUCAUGCCCUAUACAAGCGUGGCAGAGGAACAGAUCAUCUGCUAGUUGGGGUGUACGUUGACGAUCUGAUCAUCUCUGGGUCGUCUAAAGAUGCUAUCAAGCAGUUCAAGCAGCAGAUGCAGGACAUGUUUCAGAUGAGCGAUCUUGGUCUCCUGACUUACUAUCUGGGUUUAGAAGUGAAGCAGGACAAGGAUGGAAUCAGUGUUUGCCAGUCCAGCUAUGCUAAGAAGAUCCUGGAAGAUGCUGGUAUGGAUCAGUGCAAUGCCAGUCAUACACCACUGGAAAAUCGUCUGAAAUUGAGGAAGAACCAGGGAGGAGCAGUGGAUGCAUCUGAAUAUCGAAGCCUCAUUGGGAGCCUGCGGUACUUGGUAAACACACGACCGGAUAUUGCAUAUGCAGUGGGGCUUCUAAGCCGUUUCAUGGAAGCACCAGGAAAGGAGCAUUGGAUUGCAAUCAAGCAAGUUCUGAGGUACAUCAAGGGCACCCUGAAUCUUGGGUGUAUCUACAGAGCAGAAGGGGAAACUGUUCUCGCUGGUUUCAGUGACAGUGACCACGCAGGAGAUCUUGAUGACAGGAAAAGUACCACGGGUACUGUGUUCUUCCUCGGAUCGGGUGCUAUUGCUUGGUCCUCCCAGAAGCAGAAGGUGGUUGCAAAAUCUUCAUGCGAGGCCGAGUACAUAGCAGCAGCAACAGCAGCAAGUCAGGCUGUGUGGCUGAGCAGGUUGCUUGCUGAAAUGUUGGGUACAACAGUUCAGAAGGUCAAGCUGCGUGUUGACAACAGAUCUGCAAUUGAAUUGAGCAAAAAUCCGGUGCAUCAUGAGAGGAGUAAACACAUUGAUCUCAGGUAUCACUAUAUCAGAGAGUGUGUUGAGUUUGGGCGAGUGGAUGUCGUCCAUGUCAGAACCGGAGACCAAGUUGCAGACAUUUUCACAAAAUCCCUUGGAAGGAGCCGGUUCUCUGAGCUACGGAACAAGUUAGGGGUGAUCCAGUGUGUGGCAGAUUAG